Molecule: unclassified non-coding RNA, 217 nt
Filed under: Hevea brasiliensis (rubber tree)
Lineage: Eukaryota; Viridiplantae; Streptophyta; Magnoliopsida; Malpighiales; Euphorbiaceae
Source: RNAcentral
GACUCUGAGUUGGACGAGGUUAUUAAAAAAAAGAAAUCUCUGUCAGAUAGUGAAAAAUCUGAGAAACCUAGCAGCUCCCGUAAUGAUGAAGUUAUGACCGAUACGGAUUAUUUCAAAAGUAGAGUGAGGAAAGAUUGGUCUGAUUCAGAAAGUAGUGAAGACGAUGGUAGUGAUAAUGAAAGUGACAAGAGCAGUGAAGAUGCAAAUGCUGGUAAUA